UGCGAAGUAUCCAACUUCACGUGUUUGUAACUGCUCCACAACAGUCCAGCCGCGGCCGUCGAAGCACACUUAAUGCUGGCAGCAUACAGUCUAUGCAAAGUACGCGUGAACCACACUUCCUCUGCUUUAUCCUGCUGUUGGUUUACCGCGAAACAACGAUGAAACAACAUCAUAAGGGCUGCUGAAGUUACAAUAAACACCACUUGGAGGCGUUCAAGCUCAAAACAGUCGAGGGGAUCACUUUUCACGUUUCACUUUCAUUCAAUGAAGAAGAUGAUGCACCGAGGCAAGAUGAAGGUGUUUUUCAUUGGUGUCUGAGCGAAAAGAGCAGCAGCAACUACAAUAACAUCAGUAGAAGUGGCAAGUAGGAUUUGAAGG
This is a non-coding RNA of Danio rerio (zebrafish), 378 nucleotides long. NCBI's taxonomy places the organism in Eukaryota, Metazoa, Chordata, Actinopteri, Cypriniformes, Danionidae. The record is from RefSeq and is a predicted model, not a curated record.